Molecule: ribosomal RNA, 305 nt
Filed under: uncultured bacterium
Lineage: Bacteria
Description: bacterial SSU rRNA
Rfam family: Bacterial small subunit ribosomal RNA
Source: RNAcentral
UGGCCUACGGGAGGCAGCAGUUGGGAAUAUUGGACAAUGGAGGAAACUCUGAUCCAGUGACGCCGCGUGAAGGAAGAAGGUCUUCGGAUUGUAAACUUAUUUUAUCAGGGAAGAAAAAAAUGACUGUACCUGAAGAAGAAGCACCGGCUAACUACGUGCCAGCAGCCGCGGUAAUACGUAGGUGACAAGCGUUGUCCGGAUUUACUGGGUGUAAAGGGCGCGUAGGCGGGAUAGCAAGUCAGUCGUGAAAUGCCGAGGCUUAACCUCGGAGCUGCGAUUGAAACUGUUAUUCUUGAGUAUCGGAG